CCCGUCACUUAGCGGUUCAGCAAAAGAGACCGAUAGAAUAAAAUAAGUCCCGGGGUUGGUUUGCUUGAUUAAAGGUGGUGCUUCAGCAUGGCCGCUGUCAAAUGACUGAAACAAGUUAAAGAAAAAAAAAGUGUAUGUUUAAAUGUUGGUGUAUUGACAGCAUGGGGAAAAUGGUCAUAAAA
Octopus sinensis (East Asian common octopus) is the source of this 182-nucleotide long non-coding RNA. RefSeq lists it as uncharacterized. The transcript is spliced from 2 exons. Lineage: Eukaryota; Metazoa; Mollusca; Cephalopoda; Octopoda; Octopodidae. The record is from RefSeq and is a predicted model, not a curated record.